RNAcentral lists this long non-coding RNA (427 nucleotides) under Brassica napus (rape). RNAcentral's name for it is "long non-coding RNA (BNAP_LNC004157)". The record is from RNAcentral. Lineage: Eukaryota; Viridiplantae; Streptophyta; Magnoliopsida; Brassicales; Brassicaceae.
GGUUUUGUUGGCAACAUCAGCGGUUCCGAGUGAUGUACAAGGCAAGGUGUUCAUUCAGAUUGUUACAAAGGAAAUUCUUAGAAAGUUGGUGUCUGCAGGCUAUUGAGGUUGGUUAGGAUUAAAUCAAAGGGCUUCUAGUUUGAGGCAGUGGUGAUUCAGGUUCCGCAGGAGCUUCAAGUUAGCUUUGACAUCAGCUUGAAAUUCUGGAGAAAAAGAAUCAGUAAAUUUGUAGUCACGAUCUUAUGACUAUUUUAAGGUGUGACGAACCAAGGAUGAUGCUGAAAGAUAGACAUUAUCAAGGAAGAAGCAGGUGGCGUUAGUUUGUGGUAGUCAAUGACAACGUCAGAGACAGAAGAAGAAAUGUUCACAGAGGAUUAUCUCAAUGCACGUGAUGGUUUUAGGUUGGUGAAAUCAUGAUGAGAGACUU